Eptatretus burgeri (inshore hagfish) is the source of this 2335-nucleotide long non-coding RNA. The record is from Ensembl. Lineage: Eukaryota; Metazoa; Chordata; Myxini; Myxiniformes; Myxinidae.
UGAUAUCAAAACGCGGAGGGCGGGGCCCGUGCGAAUGAGUGCGUGAGACGGACCGAGCGAGCCCGUAAUAUUGGAGGAAGUUGACUGUUGCCGGUUGAUCUGUGUGGUGAGAUCGGGUGAACGAAGUUGCAAGAGAGACGUGGACGAUGGAACAGGGAUGCAGAUCUCGUACCGCCGGAGACGACGACCCGGCAGAGCACCUGGAGGACCUCGCCAUGAAGAUCGUGGACGCUGAGAGGGCUCGUUACGACCGGGUGUUGCAUCAAUGAGUGCACCAGAUGGAUGGCAAGCUUUGUACCCUUGUGUGACGAUCAGUUGGUAUAUGUUAAAGAUCCUAUGGUGUCCUUCAAGAAAGAGCAGGAUUGCAAUUCUGAAGUCACAAGAGGUGAACGGCGAAGAGCCACAGGAACAAGAGAUGAAUGCUGACUGGCUGAAAGGACGAGGACCCUGGGUGUCUGCAGGGACUGGCCGGAAAGACGAGUACCCUGAGUACCUGCAAAUAAUUCAUACUUUUGAAUUUGCUACAAUUGUGUAUUGGUGGGCAUUGGAUGAGAAGACUGUAUCUGCAUCAGUGAAUGAAGUUUUCCUGAGUUUAAUGUGGACUGUCCUUGAGACAACACUGCACUUUGGAUUGGACAACACAGUAUAGGUAUGGAGGUAGAUCUUAUGGAAAAACAGCAGAAACUUUGUAAUCAGCCUGAGAUGACACCACAUGUUGCACUUUCCAUGUCAGAAGAAUACCAGGCAAAUUAUAUCAGAUCAAUGAUGACCAAGUUGAAAGAGUCACGAAGUAAGCUAUCAAAGGGAUUUUCAAGGACACCAAUUUAUAUGAUAGGUGAGAAUGGGUUUUGCCAGAACGUGGGAGAACAGGUAUCCUCUUCUUCUUUCACAAUAUGUGAGAACCCACCUUUUGAAAUGACUGGAGUCUCACUUGAUCUUCUUGCUUGUGGACAACACACCCAAACGAUGUUGGACAAAUAUAAUGUAUGAGGCCGGUUAAAAUCACGGUCGACACAUCUAAACCGUUUCCCAAAAAACACUACCUGUUGUGACCAGAAGCUGAUGCAGAUAAAGCACCAGUAAUGAAGUUUUUGCUGGAAAAAGGAACCAUAGUCCUUACGGUCAGCCUGUGCAACACACCCAUACUGCCUGUAAAGAAACCUGGAAAACAGACAUGGUGCUUUGUACAAGAUUUGAGAGCAGUAAAUGAUUGUGUAAUACCCACUUAUCCAGUGGUGCUAUAUCUGGUUACUUUCCUCUCCAGCAUUCCAAGUGGUACAAAAUAUUAUUCAGUUGUGGAUCUGUGUUCUGCAUUCUUUCCUCUACUGAUGCAUGAAGAUUCGCAACAGUUGUUUGCAUUCACUGACAAUGGCAGACAGUAAACUUGUACAGCAUUUCCGCAAGGCAAUACAGAAAGCCUGACGCUAUUCUCUUGAGCGUUUCAAGAGGAUUUCACUGAUGUUACCUUUCCAGGGGGCUCAGCAUUGCUGCAGCAUGUUGAUGAUGUCUUGAUAUGCUCUUCUUCAAAAAUGGCAUGCGAACAAGACACUAUUUUGCUAUUGACAGCCUCAGCAGACAAAGGACAGAAGGUGUCAAAGGACAAACUGCAAUUUUGCAAGGAAGAGGUAAAAUACCUCAGACAUAUUCUGAAAGGAGAUAUGAGACUUCUUUCACCGGAACGAGUAACAGCCAUGCGGACACUUCCAAAACCGACGGCCAUUAAGGCCUAAGUCACAUUCGCUCUACGGCGAGGAUACGGUGGCCGUACGCCCUCUGAAUUGACAGAAACGUGCGGCGGCCGCAGAGUUUCUGCGGUGGCCUCAGGGUGGCCCUACGCCGUUUGGCUAUAUUUUACAGGUCGUAAGGUCGCCGUGGAAUUAUAACGCGGAGUUAAAACUUUUUUCAUUUCCACGUUCGCCGUAGCAAUUCGACAAGCCGAAAAAAAAAUAAUAAUAAAAAAAAACUGUGAAAAAAAAAUAAAAAAUAUUAACCCAUUUGUUACCGUCCGUCUGGCCGCACGUUCGCCUUGGGGCUCCCUGCGGUCGCCUUGUGGGCACCUUGCGGCUACCUUGUGUCUGCCUUCAAAAUUCUAUGGUCGCUGCAGGGCCCCCUCAAGGUCACCGUGCGACAUGAAAUCAAAGACCGUACGGCAACCCCACGUUUUCGGUCUCCACGAUUUCUCAGACCUAAGGCCUAAGUCACAUUUGCUCUACGGCGAGGAUACGGCGGCCGUCCGCCCUCUGAAUUGACAAACGUGCGGCGGCCGCAGAGUUUCUGAGGUGGCCCUAUGCCGUUUGGCUAUAUUUUACAGGCCGUAAGGUUGCCGUGGAAUUAU